AUGCAUGAAGCGCGCCCUUUAGCCGUCCGCAAAUAUAUGGCAACUCAAGGCUAUAAGAGUCUUGAUAAGAAAGCCGGUAGGAGACUCCGUCUUGAGAAGGACAAGUACACGCAGGUUACUCCGAGAUGGUGCGUCGAUAAGGGGGAGUGUUGGGAGCGGAUCGUGGACUAUUGGUGUUCCAAAGAGUAUAGGGCGAAAAACAAAGAUUAUAGAAAUCGGCGAGGCGCAAUGCUGGAUCCACCACAUCAUCAAGGCAACUUGAACGUUAUGGAGUACGGUGAACGUUGGGCGUCUCACCAUAAUGCUCCACUGCCCAACCUUUUCGUCUUGUAUGCUUUGGCCCAUAAGGCACCGUACAGAACAGCCACGCCUUACGAUAAGAAUGACACAGCGUCCGCGUACUCCAGCAAGACCGCCUACGAUCGGAUGGAGAAAUUUAAAGGGAUGGCAAAAGAGUUGAAAGGGCCCGAGUAUGAUGUGAUAACAGAGCCUCUUGACCACGCUUUGGUCAUGAUCUCUGGAGAAGGCAUGAAACAUGGCAAGGAAGCAAUUGCAGGAGGCAUGUUCCCUAGCUCCUCUCGUAGCUCUCUCCCUGAAUACAAAGCUUGGUUACAUAUCUCAAAAUCUUCUACAUAUAAACGCUCGACUCCAGCUAUGGUUGAGAUGGAGGCCCGACUGGCGGAGGAGAGGCGAGUGGCGGCAGAGGAGAGGGCGGAGGAGAGGCGAGUGGCGGCGGAGGAGAGGCGACUGGCUGAUGAGAGGACGCAGCAAGUGGUGCAGCAGGCGGUGUUGGCACAAACUAGUCAAUGCUUUGCAAUGUUUGCGGCUUAUUGUACCCAAAAUGGUAUGCCCGCUAUGUAG
Molecule: ribosomal RNA, 861 nt
Filed under: Triticum aestivum (bread wheat)
Lineage: Eukaryota; Viridiplantae; Streptophyta; Magnoliopsida; Poales; Poaceae
Description: partial small subunit ribosomal RNA
Source: RNAcentral